UAUACGACUCUCGGCAACGGAUAUCUCGGCUCUCGCAUCGAUGAAGAACGUAGCGAAAUGCGAUACUUGGUGUGAAUUGCAGAAUCCCGUGAACCAUCGAGUCUUUGAACGCAAGUUGCGCCCGAGGCCUUUCGGUUGAGGGCACGCCUGCCUGGGCGUCA
This 161-nucleotide ribosomal RNA is filed under the name Fritillaria usuriensis. RNAcentral describes it as "5.8S ribosomal RNA". It matches the Rfam family "5.8S ribosomal RNA". From Rfam's summary of the family: 5.8S ribosomal RNA (5.8S rRNA) is a component of the large subunit of the eukaryotic ribosome. It is transcribed by RNA polymerase I as part of the 45S precursor that also contains 18S and 28S rRNA. Functionally, it is thought that 5.8S rRNA may be involved in ribosome translocation. Lineage: Eukaryota; Viridiplantae; Streptophyta; Magnoliopsida; Liliales; Liliaceae. The record is from RNAcentral.